This 467-nucleotide ribosomal RNA is filed under the name uncultured bacterium. RNAcentral's name for it is "partial 16S ribosomal RNA". It matches the Rfam family "Bacterial small subunit ribosomal RNA", at positions 28 to 507 of the family's 1533-position model. The record is from RNAcentral.
GAUGAACGCUGGCGGCGUGCUUAACACAUGCAAGUCGAACGGAAAGGCCUCUGCUUGCAGGGGUACUCGAGUGGCGAACGGGUGAGUAACACGUGGGUGAUCUGCCCUGCACUUCGGGAUAAGCCUGGGAAACUGGGUCUAAUACCGGAUAGGACAAUGGUUUGGAUGCUGUUGUGGAAAGUUUUUCGGUGUGGGAUGAGCUCGCGGCCUAUCAGCUUGUUGGUGGGGUAAUGGCCUACCAAGGCGUCGACGGGUAGCCGGCCUGAGAGGGUGUACGGCCACAUUGGGACUGAGAUACGGCCCAGACUCCUACGGGAGGCAGCAGUGGGGAAUAUUGCACAAUGGGCGCAAGCCUGAUGCAGCGACGCCGCGUGAGGGAUGACGGCCUUCGGGUUGUAAACUCCUUUCGCUAGGGACGAAGCGUUUUUGUGACGGUACCUGGAGAAGAAGCACCGGCUAACUACGUG